Molecule: ribosomal RNA, 657 nt
Filed under: Amanita pantherina
Lineage: Eukaryota; Fungi; Basidiomycota; Agaricomycetes; Agaricales; Amanitaceae
Description: eukaryotic LSU rRNA
Rfam family: 5.8S ribosomal RNA (bases 217-370)
Source: RNAcentral
GGCUAAUUUUGCAUUAAACUCACGCAGGGGGGAGUGUGGUUGUAGCUGGCCCCCUAAUAAGGGCAUGUGCACACUGUCUCUUUCUCUUGUUUGUUUUUUCAUUCUUUCCACUUGUGCACUGCUUGUAGGCAGCCUGGCAUUGUUCGGGUUGUCUAUGAUUUUAUUUUACAUACAUGAAUCAUUGUUGUACAGAAUGUGAUAAAAAAAUAAUAAUACAACUUUCAACAACGGAUCUCUUGGCUCUCGCAUCGAUGAAGAACGCAGCGAAAUGCGAUAAGUAAUGUGAAUUGCAGAAUUCAGUGAAUCAUCAAAUCUUUGAACGCAUCUUGCGCUCCUUGGUAUUCCGAGGAGCAUGCCUGUUUGAGUGUCAUUAAAUUCUGUCAAAACAUGCACUUGAGUGUGUUUUGGAUUGUGGGAGUGUCUGCUGGCUUUAUAUGAGUCAGCUCUCCUGAAAGACAUUAGCUUUGGAGGGAUGUGCCAAGUCACUUCUGCCUUUCCAUUGGUGUGAUAGAUGAAUAAACUUAUCUACGCCAGGAAAGCAGGUUGCAGGUGAUGCACUGUGAUCUCUCUGCUCUCUAAUUGACAUUUGUCUGAUAACUUGACCUCAAAUCAGGUAGGACUACCCGCUGAACUUAAGCAUAUCAAUAAGCGGAGGAA